RNA transcript from Cercocebus atys (sooty mangabey), 3321 nucleotides. It is a transcript of the gene named MYCBP associated protein, with no coding region annotated. NCBI's taxonomy places the organism in Eukaryota, Metazoa, Chordata, Mammalia, Primates, Cercopithecidae. The record is from RefSeq and is a predicted model, not a curated record. The transcript is spliced from 18 exons.
UGGUGACGUCACGGCGCUCGUCGGCGCCGCCUGUGGCGUCACGGGUAGGGCCAGCGGGGCGUUCUAGGGGUCUUUCGCUCUUGGAGCCGCAGGCGGCGGGCGCGUGCGCGGCCCGAUGAAGAAGGUGGUUUCCAAGCAGUCUCCGCCCAAGUUGAUUGGUAGGUGCCCUCCCCGCGCGGGGCGCCGGUUGCUACGGACGCAGUGGCGGCCGCUGGCUGGCGGGCGUGCGCGGGGUCGCCGCGGGUGCGGCGCAGCCUCGGUGUCUCGGGGCCGGGCGGUGCAGGGUCACGCUCACCGCCGGGACGGCACCAUGAAGUCUCUAAAGAAGGAUUCCCGCCUCAAAAUAACUCCAGCCAGAUUAUUAGAGGCCGCAGAGAGCUUCAAAGAAAAGAAACGGGCAAAGGGACCUGAACAACCCACACCCCCAAUUCAGGAAGAGCCUGAACCUAUUAGCAAUGUCCUACAAGGAGAUGACAUUCUUGCUUUGGCCAUUAAGAAGGAAGACUUGAAGGAGCAACAUAUUCCUCGCCUUACUGAAAAGGAAGAUAAACGCGUCAUUACCCAGAAAUUUAUCAUCCGUAAACUCAAACCCACGGAUCCUAGGAGGAAGGUCUGCCACCUUGUAGCACGUCCUGCAAAUACCGAUGCAGCCACAAAGCCUCUGGACUACUCUGGUCCCGGUGACAGCUUCGAUGGCAGUGACCAGAUCCUGCCCCACCACAUCUUGGGGAGUCUCCAGGACUUUAAGAGAAUUGCACUUGCUCGAGGGAACACCCGGCUGGCUGAGCUGAUACCUACCUCACCCUGUCUGAUGACCCUCAUCUCUGCUAAAGGAGAGUCAACGCAAAAAGCCCCAAAAGAAGAGAAGAGACCUCCCUGGGCCCCACCUCCUCAGCACAACUUUCUGAAAAACUGGCAGCGUAACAUAGCCCUGCGGAAGAAGCAGCAGGAAGCCCUCAGUGAACACCUAAAGAAGCCGAUCAGUGAGCUGCUCAUGCACACUGGGGAGACCUACAGACGGAUCCAGGAGGAGCGGGAGCUCAUUGACUGCACACUUCCAACGCGGCGUGAUAGGAAAAGCUGGGAGAACAGUGGGUUCUGGAGUCGACUGGAAUACUUGGGAGAUGAGAUGACAGGUCUGGUCAUGACCAAGACAAAAACUCAGCGUGGCCUUAUGGAGCCCAUCACACACAUCGGGAAGCCCCACUCCAUCCGGGUGGAGACAGGAUUACCAGCCCAGAGGGACGCUUCAUACCGCUACACCUGGGAUCGGAGUCUAUUUCUGAUCUACCGACGCAAGGAGCUGCAGCAAAUCAUGGCAGAGCUGGAUUUCAGCCAGCAGGUUAGUAUGGCCUCCAUGCCCCAGUCAGAAGCCUCUUGGGGCAGUGCCUGUCUUCAGUCAGCUCUUCUAACCUUUCUCCAUCUCUCGGAGGAUAUUGAUGGCCUGGAGGUGGUGGGCAAAGGGCAGCCCUUCUCAGCUGUUACUGUGGAAGACUACACAGUGUUUGAAAGAAGUCAGGGAAGCUCCUCUGAAGAGACAACAUACUUAGGCACAUUGGCAAGUUCCUCUGAUGUCCCCAUGCCUAUUCUCGGCCCUUCUCUUCUGUUCUGUGGGAAGCCAGCUUGCUGGAUCAGAGGCAGUAAUCCACAGAACAAGAGGCAGGUCGGGAUUGCUGUUCACUUGACCUUUGAAACCCUAGAAGGCGAGAAAACCUCCUCAGAACUGACUGUGGUCAAUAAUGGCACCGUGGCCAUUUGGUAUGACUGGCGACGGCAGCACCAACCAGACACUUUCCAAGACCUGAAGAAAAACAGGAUGCAGCGAUUUUACUUUAACAGCCGGGAAGGUGUGAUUCUGCCUGGAGAAACUAAAACCUUUACCUUCUUCUUCAAGUCUUUGACUGCUGGGAUCUUCAGGGAAUUUUGGGAGUUUCGAACCCAUCCUACUCUAUUAGGAGGUGCUGUGCUGCAAGUCAAUCUCCAUGCAGUCUCCCUGACCCAGGAUGUUUUUGAGGAUGAGAGGGAAGUACUGGAGAGCAAACUGACGGCCCAUGAGGCAGUCACCAUCGUUCACGAAGUGCUGCAGGAGGUGCUGAUGGGGGUCUUGACCCCGGAGCGCACACCAUCACCUGUGGAUGCCUAUCUCACCAAGGAAGACUUGUUCCGACACAGGAAUCCUCAGCUGCAUUACGAGCACCAAGUGGUGCAAAGCCUGCAUGAACUGUGGCGCCAGUACAUGACUCUGCCCCCCAACGCUGAGGAGGCCAGGCCAGGGGACAAGGAGCACGUCAGCCCCAUAGCCACAGAGAAGGCCUCUGUGAAUGCUAAGCUCUUACCGCGCUUUAGGAGCCCCAUUUCUGAACCUCAAGUGCCCCAGCCUGAGAACGAGGCCCUCAGGGAAUCCGGAUCCCAGAAGGCCAGAGUGGGAACCAAGAGUCCUCAGCAGAAGAGCAUCGUGGAGGAGAUCCUGGUGGAGGAAAGCCCAGAUGUGGACAGCGCCAGGAGCCCCUGGGAGCCGGAUGGCCUUCCCCUGCUGGAGUGGAAUCUCUGCUUGGAGGAUUUCAGAAAGGCAGUGAUGGUGCUCCCUGAUGAGAACCAGAGAGAGGAUGCGCUGAUGAGGCUCAACAAAGCAGCCCUGGAGCUGUGCCAGAAGCCAAGACCAUUGCAGUCCAACCUCCUGCACCAGAUGGGUUUGCAGCUAUGGCGAGAUGUGAUUGACAGCCUGGUGAGCCAUUCCCUGUGGCUGAGGUCUCUGCUGGGCCUGCCUGAGAAGGAGACCAUCUAUUUGAAUGUGCCUGAAGAGCAAGAUCAAAAAUCACCUGCCAUCAUGGAAGUGAAGGUACCUGUGGGGAAAGUUGGGAAGGAGGAGCGGAAAGGAGCAGCCCAGGAAAAGAAGCAACUGGGGAUCAAAGACAAAGAAGACAAGAAAGGAGCCAGGGUACUCGGGAAGGAGUCAUGCUGGGGCGUGGUCUGGGCCAGGACCGUCCCAACAGCAAGAAGCACAGGGCAAAGGACGACAAGAAAGUCAUAAAAUCUGCAAGUCGGGACAGGUUUUCCUCGGAAGACCCUAUCCCUGACAUCAACCUCCCUUCUCAAGAACCCAUAGACCCCCUGGUCAUGGAGAAAUACACCCAGAGGCUGCACAGCGAGGUCCAUGGGCUGCUGGACACCCUGGUGACCAACCUGAUGGUCCUGGCUGAUGAGCUCAGCCCCAUAAAGAAUGUCGAGGAACCUUUGCGUCUCUGCAGGUGACUCUCGGGCCCAAGCAACCUUCUGGAAAACGGGUUAAUAAAUAAUAAAGAACCUUCAAGUUUCUACUAC